CAUCUCUUUUCAUUAUGACGAUUUCAUUUCCAAGAUAUGCCAAAAGAAAUCGGUCCGUUUCCUUUGCUGUUCAAAGCUUUUCUUUCUUCAUUCUUUCUCUCUAAAGACUUCUAAUCUUCUUCACAUCUCCCAUCCAGCCGAGCUUGGUCCAUGGCAUAAUCUGGAACUCCCCUAUCCAGGUAAAACUCUUCUCCUCUUCUUAACGAUUUUGUUGCUAUGAUAUGAGCAAGACCAUUUGCUGAUCUAGGUGUAUGUUGAAAUCUGAUAUUAUCAAGUCCAAAUAUUUCCUGUUGAAUGUCAUAAAUAUAUACCCCCACCAUAGAUCUAUCUUGACUCUUUGAUUUGCAUUUCUUGACUAUUGUGAGGGAAUCUCCUUUAAGAAUCAAAUGACGCCAUCCCCUCAUGAUUCCCAUUUGAACAGCUUUCCGGCAGGCAAUCGCUUCAGCAGCAAAGGCUGAUGAAAUAUUAAAAUGAAUCUCUGAACAUGAAAAAAGAAUAUUACCAUCCGAAUCUCUAGCCAAAAUACCCACGCCCGACUGAUUCUUUCCUCUAUCGAAUGCGCCAUCAAAGUUGAUCUUCAUGAAACUUGCCUGUGGGGACGACCAUCUCUUUUUUUCUACGGUACGAUUCAGAUCUCUCUUCUCAAGACCAUUAAUCUCACUGAUGUAGCUGUUUAUAAGAUUUGCAACUUCAGUUCCCUUUCUAAUUUUACCUUCAUGUAUUCUUUUGUUUCUGUCUCCCCAUAUUGCCCAGAGUGCACAACAAAAUAUGCGACUUUGGUCAAGGCUGAGCUCCUCUAUUGCCCAGGUAAUCCACUGUACAAAAUCCUCACAUUGAUUCCUUAAAAUGCACUGAAACGAUAAUGUUCUCCAUACCUCCCUUGUAACAUGACAGUCACGAAAUAAAUGGUUCAUUGUUUCAGCUCCUUCUCCACAUUGGGGGCAGCUUGGAUUUGCUACUAACUUCCGGUGCUGGAGAUUCACCUU
This 986-nucleotide long non-coding RNA is filed under the name Gossypium raimondii (Peruvian cotton). Its description in RNAcentral is "long non-coding RNA (GRAI_LNC003227)". The record is from RNAcentral. Lineage: Eukaryota; Viridiplantae; Streptophyta; Magnoliopsida; Malvales; Malvaceae.